This 576-nucleotide ribosomal RNA is filed under the name Hanseniaspora pseudoguilliermondii. Its description in RNAcentral is "partial large subunit ribosomal RNA". It matches the Rfam family "Eukaryotic large subunit ribosomal RNA", at positions 76 to 666 of the family's 3401-position model. Lineage: Eukaryota; Fungi; Ascomycota; Saccharomycetes; Saccharomycodales; Saccharomycodaceae. The record is from RNAcentral.
UACCUUAGUAACGGCGAGUGAAGCGGUAAAAGCUCAAAUUUGAAAUCUGGUACUUUCAGUGCCCGAGUUGUAAUUUGUAGAAUUUGUCUUUGAUUAGGUCCUUGUCUAUGUUCCUUGGAACAGGACGUCAUAGAGGGUGAGAAUCCCGUUUGGCGAGGAUACCUUUUCUCUGUAAGACUUUUUCGAAGAGUCGAGUUGUUUGGGAAUGCAGCUCAAAGUGGGUGGUAAAUUCCAUCUAAAGCUAAAUAUUGGCGAGAGACCGAUAGCGAACAAGUACAGUGAUGGAAAGAUGAAAAGAACUUUGAAAAGAGAGUGAAAAAGUACGUGAAAUUGUUGAAAGGGAAGGGCAUUUGAUCAGACAUGGUGUUUUUUGCAUGCACUCGCCUCUCGUGGGCUUGGGCCUCUCAAAAAUUUCACUGGGCCAACAUCAAUUCUGGCAGCAGGAUAAAUCAUUAAGAAUGUAGCUACUUCGGUAGUGUUAUAGCUUUUUGGAAUACUGUUAGCCGGGAUUGAGGACUGCGCUUCGGCAAGGAUGUUGGCAUAAUGGUUAAAUGCCGCCCGUCUUGAAACACGGAC